Molecule: long non-coding RNA, 1079 nt
Filed under: Felis catus (domestic cat)
Lineage: Eukaryota; Metazoa; Chordata; Mammalia; Carnivora; Felidae
Description: lncRNA (ENSFCAG00000049547.1)
Source: RNAcentral
GGUAAAUUUUGCGAUGCAAUUUUUUCCUACUCCUUUGAAAGUGAUUCGUAUGCUUAUUUUUCUUUUAAGCUUCUAGGGGUAAUUUUCUUUUCUCCAAUUGAGUACCUUGUACCAUUUUUUUGUUUCUUGAGAGAGAGAGAGAGAGAGUGGGGUAGGGACAGAGAGAGAGGGAGGGAGACGAUCCUACGCAGGAUCCGCACUGUCAAUGCAGAGCCCGACACGGGGUUCAAACCCACGAACAGUGAGAUCAUGACCUGAGCCGAAACCAAGAGCCAGAUGAUUAACUGACUGAGCCACCCAGGCGCCCCUAAGUUGUGUCAAUUUAUGCUUGCUUUCUUCCUGUUUGGUAAGUUUAAAAUGGGCAUAGGCAAGAAUACAAAAUAAUUAUGUAACAUGCUGGGACCCUGACUCCUUAAUGGUGGAUCUUUAAAUAAAAUAUGUCCUCUGGAGGCGUCUGGGUGGCUCAGUUGGUUAAGUGGCUGACUUUGGCCAGGUCAUAAUCUUCAUGGUUCCUGGGUUCGAGCCCCACAUCGGACUCAUGCUGCCAGUGCAGAGCUUGCUUGGGAUUCUCGCUCUCUGCCCCUCCCCCACUCGCCCUUUUUCUCUCUCUCAGAAUAAAUAAAUAAACUUAAAAAAAAAAAUAUAUGUCCUCUAAAUGAAGUGAGUCAGAACCUGAAGAGCCGGAACACAUCACAGAUGUACAGACCUGGCCAGGGGACCACAACGUGCACCAGGGCCAAGCUCACGUGUGGAUCCUUUUGUUGAGGAACAGGAUGCAGAUGGACACGGGCAGGUUGAGGAGGAGCCUGGUGGCCCCUGUCACCCAGUCCAGGAGAAGCGUACACCUGACCCCUUCCAGGUGAGCAGCUGCCUCCGAUGCGUGCCCCUGCUCCACCGCCACCCAUUCUCGCAAUGUACUCUCGAAGAUCUAGAGGUUUCAGGCCUUAAGGUAGGGCACAGGUAGACGUUAGUUUACGAAGGAUUUGAAAUUCCUCAGAUCACUUAAUUUGGGCAUCUCUUUGCUUGCCCUUGGGGUACCUUUCCAGGGAGCAGCACAGGUACCCUGGGCUGGUGCAAAG